RNAcentral lists this long non-coding RNA (579 nucleotides) under Phoenix dactylifera (date palm). Its description in RNAcentral is "long non-coding RNA (PDAC_LNC021336)". Lineage: Eukaryota; Viridiplantae; Streptophyta; Magnoliopsida; Arecales; Arecaceae. The record is from RNAcentral.
CAAUUCAGAGCAACUCCGAGGGAACCUGGAUCUCUUGGAAGAAGCGAGGGAAAUGGCGCAGGUUCGGAUGGCGAUGUAUCAGCGGAGGGUGGCCCGAUAUUACAACUCCAAGGUCCGACCGAAGCUUUUCAGAAUCGGAGAUCUGGUGCUAAGGCGAGCUAAAGCAUCUCAACCUGCGGAAGGUGGGAAGCUAGCGCCAAAUUGGGAAGGCCCGUAUAGGGUUUGCUGGGUAAACCGACCUGGCUCCUACCAGUUGGAGGCCCUAGAUGGUCGAGAAAUUCUAAGGAGCUGGAAUUCCGCUAAUCUGCGGAUGUAUUACCAGUAGAACGACAAUGCCAGAAAGACAGUUCAAAAAUGUAUAACACUUUUCAUUUCAAUAAUUUCUGGUUACAACGGCGUGCUCGUGUGAUUACAAGGAAUUCCCAGAGGGGAAUUAGGGUGUAAAGAAAGUAAAGAAGAGGUGGAGACUCCGAGGAGCUGAAGAUCUGGGAUCCCGAAACCUCCAUCUGAAGCGGUUGCAAUCCCGCCGGAAGUGGGUGCUUCCAACCGGAGGCGCCACCGGCGUCUCACGAAAGAGAC